AGUGAACGCUGGCGGUAGGCCUAACACAUGCAAGUCGAACGGCAGCACAGUAAGAGCUUGCUCUUACGGGUGGCGAGUGGCGGACGGAUGAGGAAUGCAUCGGAAUCUACUUUUUCGUGGGGGAUAACGUAGGGAAACUUACGCUAAUACCGCAUACGACCUACGGGUGAAAGCAGGGGAUCUUCGGACCUUGCGCGAUUGAAUGAGCCGAUGUCGGAUUAGCUAGUUGGCGGGGUAAAGGCCCACCAAGGCGACGAUCCGUAGCUGGUCUGGGAGGAUGAUCAGCCACACUGGAACUGAGACACGGUCCAGACUCCUACGGGAGGCAGCAGUGGGGAAUAUUGGACAAUGGGCGCAAGCCUGAUCCAGCCAUACCGCGUGGGUGAAGAAGGCCUUCGGGUUGUAAAGCCCUUUUGUUGGGAAAGAAAAGCAGCAGGUUAAUACCCCGCUGUUCUGACGGUACCCAAAGAAUAAGCACCGGCUAACUUCGUG
RNAcentral lists this ribosomal RNA (492 nucleotides) under uncultured bacterium. Its description in RNAcentral is "partial 16S ribosomal RNA". It matches the Rfam family "Bacterial small subunit ribosomal RNA", at positions 29 to 507 of the family's 1533-position model. The record is from RNAcentral.